This 253-nucleotide ribosomal RNA is filed under the name uncultured bacterium. RNAcentral's name for it is "partial 16S ribosomal RNA". It matches the Rfam family "Bacterial small subunit ribosomal RNA", at positions 524 to 776 of the family's 1533-position model. The record is from RNAcentral.
UACGUAGGGAGCAAGCGUUGUCCGGAAUCAUUGGGCGUAAAGCGCGCGUAGGCGGCCUCAUAAGUCCGCUGUGAAAGUCAAAGGCUCAACCUUUGAAAGCCGGUGGAUACUGUGAGGCUAGAGUACGGAAGAGGCGAGUGGAAUUCCUGGUGUAGCGGUGGAAUGCGCAGAUAUCAGGAGGAACACCAAUAGCGAAGGCAACUCGCUGGGACGUUACUGACACUGAGGCGCGAAAGCGUGGGGAGCGAACAGG